Molecule: ribosomal RNA, 426 nt
Filed under: uncultured Paenibacillus sp.
Lineage: Bacteria; Bacillati; Bacillota; Bacilli; Caryophanales; Paenibacillaceae
Description: bacterial SSU rRNA
Rfam family: Bacterial small subunit ribosomal RNA
Source: RNAcentral
UAGGGAAUCUUCGGCAAUGGACGAAAGUCUGACCGAGCAACGCCGCGUGAGUGAUGAAGGUUUUCGGAUCGUAAAACUCUGUUGCCAGGGAAGAAUAGUCGAGAGAGUAACUGCUCUUGGCAUGACGGUACCUGAGAAGAAAGCCCCGGCUAACUACGUGCCAGCAGCCGCGGUAAUACGUAGGGGGCAAGCGUUGUCCGGAAUUAUUGGGCGUAAAGCGCGCGCAGGCGGUCUUUUAAGUCUGGUGUAUAAACCAAGGGCUCAACCUUUGGACGCAUUGGAAACUGGGAGACUGGAGUGUAGGAGAGGAAAGUGGAAUUCCACGUGUAGCGGUGAAAUGCGUAGAGAUGUGGAGGAACACCAGUGGCGAAGGCGACUUUCUGGCCUAUAACUGACGCUGAGGCGCGAAAGCGUGGGGAGCAAACA